Molecule: regulatory RNA element, 102 nt
Rfam family: Purine riboswitch aptamer
About the family: Riboswitches are metabolite binding domains within certain messenger RNAs that serve as precision sensors for their corresponding targets.
Source: Rfam
AAAUUAAUCAGACAUGCCGUUCGUAUAUCCUCGAUAAUAUGGGUCGAAAGUUUCUACCGGAGCACCGUAAAUGCUCUGACUAUGAAGGCAGAAGAUCAGUAU